GGGACGUGACAGAUAAAAGGAACCACAGAGUGCAGUAGAGCAGAACUUGCGCUGUCUUUCUGAUCAGAGAAGUUGCCAUUUUAGGAGUUUUUAAAAGACUCGUCUGAAUGUAAGCCAACAAAUCAUAUCAACUCUGUGGCUAAUGGCAAGGAGCCUAACAGCGUAAGAGGAGGAGUUUUUUUUAAAAGACCAGUUUGAAUCCAAACCAAUAUAUCUCAACGUCUAAAAGCACGUGACUGAGAACAGAUCAGGGGCUGAAAGAACAUCUUAACAACACAAGACCCUGACUGCGCAGAAGCCACUAUAUUUGUUCCUGAAAGAAGAAAAAUUUAGAUCUUUGUAGUAAAUUUAAUAACUGACGUACAACAAUAAUGUUGAAAUAUUUCAAACGAGAAGAAAAGCUUUCAGAUGCUAUAAAAAAAGAUUGCAAACAAUCAAAAACACAUACAGGGCCUCUCCCUGUUUAUAUAAUUAAACCCAAAAAAAAUGAUUUCAAUGUCGAUGGAUGCAAGAGUUUCACUUUUGGGAAAGAGUCCAGUAAACCUAAUCGCACCAUAAUGGUUCUCGGAGCGACUGGUGCUGGGAAGACAACUCUCAUUAACGGGAUGAUCAAUUACAUUUUAGGUGUUAAAUGGGAGGAUCCAUAUCGAUUUAAGUUAGUUGAUGAGGGUGAGUUAACUUCACAAUCUGAGAGUCAGACCUCUGAAGUCACUGUGUACAAAGUCAAACACCAGCAGGGAUUUGAAAUUGAGUUCUCUCUGACCAUUGUGGACACUCCAGGCUUUGGAGAUACAAGAGGCAUAGAAAAAGACAGAGAGAUCGUAGAGCAGCUACGUAAUCUCUUCUCUGCUCAGGGUGGUGUCAGUGAAAUCGAUGCUGUGUGUUUUGUAGCUCAGGCUGCUUUAGCACGACUCACACCAACACAAAAAUAUGUGUUUGAUUCAGUGCUCUCAAUCUUUGGCAACGAUGUGGCAGAAAACAUCUGGAUUCUGGUGACAUUUGCAGAUGGUCAGCAUCCUCCAGUUCUUG
Non-coding RNA from Maylandia zebra (zebra mbuna), 1029 nucleotides. NCBI's taxonomy places the organism in Eukaryota, Metazoa, Chordata, Actinopteri, Cichliformes, Cichlidae. The record is from RefSeq and is a predicted model, not a curated record.